UACGUAGGGUGCGAGCGUUAAUCGGAAUUACUGGGCGUAAAGCGUGCGCAGGCGGUUUUGUAAGACAGGUGUGAAAUCCCCGGGCUUAACCUGGGAACUGCAUUUGUGACUGCAAGGCUAGAGUAUGGCAGAGGGGGGUAGAAUUCCACGUGUAGCAGUGAAAUGCGUAGAUAUGUGGAGGAAUACCGAUGGCGAAGGCAGCCCCCUGGGUCAAUACUGACGCUGAGGCGCGAAAGCUAGGGGAGCAAACGGG
Molecule: ribosomal RNA, 253 nt
Filed under: uncultured bacterium
Lineage: Bacteria
Description: partial 16S ribosomal RNA
Rfam family: Bacterial small subunit ribosomal RNA
Source: RNAcentral